UUGGCAGUGCAUUGCUAGCUGGCUGUUGUGUACGUGUGUUAACAGUUGCUAGCUGUACUCCAUAU
RNAcentral lists this microRNA precursor (65 nucleotides) under Alligator mississippiensis (American alligator). RNAcentral describes it as "Ami-Mir-34-P3a_pre stem-loop". Lineage: Eukaryota; Metazoa; Chordata; Crocodylia; Alligatoridae. The record is from RNAcentral.